CCUACGGGGCGCAGCAGUGAGGAAUAUUGGUCAAUGGCCGGAAGGCUGAACCAGCCAUGCCGCGUGAAGGUCAGUGCCCUAUGGGCGUUAAACUUCUUUUGUGCGGGAGCAAUAAUGGUCACGUGUGGCCAGACGAGAGUACCGUACGAAUAAGCAUCGGCUAACUCCGUGCCAGCAGCCGCGGUAAUACGGGGGAUGCAAGCGUUAUCCGGAUUUAUUGGGUUUAAAGGGUGCGUAGGCUGUGAGGUAAGUCAGAGGUGAAAUGCCCCGGCUCAAAGGGGUGAAGUGCCCUUGAUACUGCCUGGCUGGAAUGCGGAUGCGGUGGGAGGAAUGUGUGGUGUAGCGGUGAAAUGCAUAGAUAUCACACAGAACACCGAUUGCGAAGGCAUCUCACGAAUCCGCGAUUGACGCUGAUGCACGAAAGCGUGGGUAUCAAACAGGAUUAGAUACCCUUGUAGUC
RNAcentral lists this ribosomal RNA (460 nucleotides) under uncultured bacterium. Its description in RNAcentral is "partial 16S ribosomal RNA". It matches the Rfam family "Bacterial small subunit ribosomal RNA", at positions 338 to 795 of the family's 1533-position model. The record is from RNAcentral.